AUGUACAACUUCUAACGGUGGACCCCUCGGCUCGUGCAUCGAUGAAGAACGCAGCAAACUGCGAUACCUAGUGUGAAUUGCAGAAUUCAGUGAAUCAUCGAGUCUUUGAACGCAAAUGGCGCUCUCGGUUUUGCCGGGAGCACGUCUGUCUGAGCGUUCGUUU
This 163-nucleotide ribosomal RNA is filed under the name Placospongia sp. UCMPWC548. Its description in RNAcentral is "5.8S ribosomal RNA". It matches the Rfam family "5.8S ribosomal RNA". From Rfam's summary of the family: 5.8S ribosomal RNA (5.8S rRNA) is a component of the large subunit of the eukaryotic ribosome. It is transcribed by RNA polymerase I as part of the 45S precursor that also contains 18S and 28S rRNA. Lineage: Eukaryota; Metazoa; Porifera; Demospongiae; Clionaida; Placospongiidae. The record is from RNAcentral.